This 665-nucleotide long non-coding RNA is filed under the name Solanum tuberosum (potato). Its description in RNAcentral is "long non-coding RNA (STUB_LNC005287)". Lineage: Eukaryota; Viridiplantae; Streptophyta; Magnoliopsida; Solanales; Solanaceae. The record is from RNAcentral.
CAGCAAUAGUAGCAUUAUCCCAACCCUGCAAAAAGUUUCCAAUUGUCGCGGCAAGCGCAACUAACACAGCACCAUUCAUCUUUUCCAGUACUAGUAGCACACAAGUCAAUCAAAUUUUGAACUAUACCUGCAAAUUAAGAACACUUAUAACUCAAUCCACCAAAACCACAGAUCUAAACUUCACACUACAAAAUUGCCAUUAGUAAAAAACAUACAAUUCUUGACAAAAACUAAAAUCAUAUACAUGGUAAAGUUGUCAUUAACACUAACAAGUCUAAAAACAGUAAAUUGAGGAAUCCCAAGUAGAAAAGAUUGUACCUUUAGAUGGCUGAAUUCGAUUAGAGAGAGUAAAAGCCAAAAGUGGUCGAGCCAGCUACUAUAUACUCAAAAUUCAAGAAGUACAGAAAGGGUAUAUUCUAACAGUUUGGAAUUGGAGUUAAUCAGCAGAAAAAAAGAUUUCCCAUCUCAGAAAACAGGACAAACAAGUUUGGUUCUAUGAAUCUUUAUGGCUGGACAAAGAGGGUGAUCAAAACAACAUAAACAAAACCAACCGCCUUUCAACAUAAACCUAAGACAUCAUUAAAAAGGUUUUGUCUUUGUAAACCCCAGAAGCUUAAACUGAAAAAUAUCUUCAAGAAAGUUUUGAUCUUUUUUUUUUUUUUAUC